Molecule: ribosomal RNA, 247 nt
Filed under: Actinomycetota bacterium
Lineage: Bacteria; Bacillati; Actinomycetota
Description: Actinobacteria bacterium partial 16S ribosomal RNA
Rfam family: Bacterial small subunit ribosomal RNA
Source: RNAcentral
UCAACGGAGAGUUUGAUCCUGGCUCAGGACGAACGCUGGCGGCGUGCUUAACACAUGCAAGUCGAACGGUGACGAGGAGCUUGCUCCUCCGAUCAGUGGCGAACGGGUGAGUAACACGUGAGUAACCUGCCCCAGACUCUGGAAUAACAGUUGGAAACAGCUGCUAAUACCGGAUACGAGACGGAGAGGCAUCUCUACCGUCUGGAAAGUUUUUCGGUCUGGGAUGGACUCGCGGCCUAUCAGCUUG